Molecule: ribosomal RNA, 484 nt
Filed under: uncultured bacterium
Lineage: Bacteria
Description: partial 16S ribosomal RNA
Rfam family: Bacterial small subunit ribosomal RNA
Source: RNAcentral
GACGAACGCUGGCGGCGUGCUUAACACAUGCAAGUCGGACGAUGAACCCGGAGCUUGCUCCGGUGGAUUAGUGGCGAACGGGUGAGUAACACGUGAGUAACCUGCCCUUGACUCUGGAAUAACUGCGGGAAACUGUAGCUAAUACCGGAUACGACCCUCGGCGGCAUCGCCAGGGGGUGGAAAGAAUUUCGGUCAAGGAUGGACUCGCGGCCUAUCAGCUAGUUGGUGAGGUAACGGCUCACCAAGGCGACGACGGGUAGCGGGUCUGAGAGGGUGACCGGUCACACUGGGACUGAGACACGGCCCAGACUCCUACGGGAGGCAGCAGUGGGGAAUAUUGGACAAUGGGCGGAAGCCUGAUCCAGCAACGCCGCGUGAGGGAUGACGGCCUUCGGGUUGUAAACCUCUUUCAGCAGGGACGAAGCGCAAGUGACGGUACCUGCAGAAGAAGCACCGGCCAACUACGUGCCAGCAGCCGCAGUAA